UCCUAACUCUGGCGGCGUGCUUAACACAUGCAAGUCGAACGAAGAGCGAUGGAAGCUUGCUUCUAUCAAUCUUAGUGGCGAACGGGUGAGUAACGCGUAAUCAACCUGCCCUUCAGAGGGGGACAACAGUUGGAAACGACUGCUAAUACCGCAUACGAUCUAAUCUCGGCAUCGAGGAAAGAUGAAAGGUGGCCUCUAUUUAUAAGCUAUCACUGAAGGAGGGGAUUGCGUCUGAUUAGCUAGUUGGAGGGGUAACGGCCCACCAAGGCGAUGAUCAGUAGCCGGUCUGAGAGGAUGAACGGCCACAUUGGGACUGAGACACGGCCCAGACUCCUACGGGAGGCAGCAGUGGGGAAUCUUCCGCAAUGGACGAAAGUCUGACGGAGCAACGCCGCGUGAGUGAUGACGGCCGUCGGGUUGUAAAGCUCUGUUAAUCGGGACGAAAGGCCUUCUUGCGAACAGUUAGAAGGAUUGACGGUACCGGAAUAGAAAGCCACGGCUAACUACGUG
RNAcentral lists this ribosomal RNA (510 nucleotides) under uncultured bacterium. Its description in RNAcentral is "partial 16S ribosomal RNA". It matches the Rfam family "Bacterial small subunit ribosomal RNA", at positions 32 to 507 of the family's 1533-position model. The record is from RNAcentral.